This is an RNA transcript of Pangasianodon hypophthalmus (striped catfish), 2467 nucleotides long. RefSeq lists it as uncharacterized. The record is from RefSeq and is a predicted model, not a curated record. The transcript is spliced from 6 exons. NCBI's taxonomy places the organism in Eukaryota, Metazoa, Chordata, Actinopteri, Siluriformes, Pangasiidae.
UUGUGGUUAUUUAAAGCUGAAACACGACCCUGUAGAAACAGUAACCUUUCUCUGUCAGUCAGAGAAGAAAUGGCCAGGCUCCUGUUUAUACAGCUGAUGAUUGGUGUCUUCACUUUGAGUCUUCUUCAGAUCACUUUAGCAGAUGUCAUAUCUGUUCAUCCUGGUGAAAAAGUUACCCUGCGCUGUAACAUCCCUAAUUAUUUUAACAUAUUGUGGUAUCGACUUAAAUCUGAGGAGGUGAAACUUCUCAUAAUUGCUAAAAAAGGGAAACUGGAUACACACUUUUCCCCCAGCAGCCCUGUCGAUGACAGUCACUUUGAUGUAACUGAAGAUGGUGGUUUAGUGAUUAUCGGAGUUAGAGAGACAGAUCUGGGAUUUUAUUACUGUGGAGGUCAAAACACCUCAACACACAUUCAGUUUGGGAAACCCAUCAGACUGAACUUUACAGUUUACUCUCGAGCAAAGCCCUGACAUACUGUACCGGUCACCCCUCUACAAAGGUGUGACAAGGAGUAAGCUGAUAGGCUGGCCUUAAGUAUCCUGCCUGGCAGGUGCAGGCAAUCCGACAACAGAAAUCAGGAAGCUGUUGCCUCAUCUGUAUAUUUGGACCGCUACCAGGUUACAAAUAUAAUCCUAACAUGUGUGUGUUCCAUCUCAUUCCUAAUGAACGUCUUCUGCAUCUGUGUGUUCAGUUCCCGAGUGCAAGGAAAGUUACUAUCAUCACACACAUGCUGCAGUGACACCAACACCACUUAUUCAGAUGAGAAGGGAAUGAAUCUGCACUAUGCCACUUUUACACACAUGAGAGAACCCGCUGAUAGAAACUCAUCAGAUUUGGACAGAGUGAUAUACACAGGAAUCAGACAUUUACCAGGCUGACAUGGCCUGCACCUGAUUAUAGAGCUGUACCAGUAGGAUGAGGAAAAUAUUUUACUUAAAAUAUUUGAUCAUGGUUAACAAUGUAAACUCCAUGCUUAUUCAUAUCUGUUCUCAGCAAUGAGCAGUGUAAACCCUUCUGAAAAAAAAAAUUACAUACAAUUCACACAUUUUUCAUUUUUGAUAUGAGUAAAAGGGCAUUUCAUGUUAUGUCCUGAAGUUACAGUUGUGAACUCAAGUAACAUGUGACAUCAGCUGAAUAAUGUUUGUGUCUCCCUAUAUUUAUAAUCCCACUCGCUUCUGGAGAAAUUUCUCCCUUAGUUAUUUUUGGAUUUGUCCUUAAUAAAUAAAUAAAAUGUAGAUAAAAUGUCCAUGCUGCACACUCUUAAUUUCAGAAUCAGCAAUUUUAUUAUUUUAUCAUCAUUACGCUAUAAGGAGUCUCAGUUUCAGCAUUUUAAGACUUAGUAUAGCUUUAAAUAGUGUAACAUGAUGCACAGGUUUAGAAUUUUGCACAUUUAUCUUCACAUCUUAGGUCUUGCCUUUAUUUAAAACUUUUUUAAAAUGUCAUUGUCACAUCAGUCAGGGACAUUUGACUGCCCUUCCGCAAAGUUCUAGGACACUUCAUUUAUCCCACUUCAUUUCCUGUUCAUAGACUAUAUAAAAUACACACACACACACACACACAGUAUCAAAGCCUUAGAAUGUGUAAGUUCACCUUAUUGUGUAAGUUCUGAACUGUUUUCUAGUAUUUGUGUGCUGUGCUUUGACCCUUGCUAUGUUGUGGAUUUCUUUGUCUUGCGCUUGUGAUUUCUGUUCGGUUUGAUUUGUGUAUGAUCUCAGACUGUCCUGUGGAUUUAUGAUAUUGGAUUGUUGACCUCUUGUGAAGGGAUCCUCACACAUCUCCCAAGUCCUGUUCAUUACAGUCAGAAGCCUCCUUCAAGACCAGUUCAUCAUGAGGUACCAUAUGAGGAAGUCAGAGCUGGCGCUGACGUUUUCUCUUAGAAAAGGUCAAAGAGUAACCAGGAAAGGAGUGACAAGAACACAAUUAAUGUGUAAGGACCUUUCAGUAAGGUGUUGCCUGGAGAGAGACAUAAAUUAAUCAUUCUAAAUAUUACACUCUCAGUGACAUGAAAUUGUAGAUCUUUCAGUAGCUUUAGAAAUGUCAUAUAUAGUUUUGUUGAAAGAUAAAUGGAGAUUUGUAAUGUUACUGACUCACAUGUCUAUGUUCACUGUACAGCAAAGCUAAGGAAAUAUUAAAAUUAGGCAGGACACUCACCUGAGGAAGUGGAUUUUUUAUCUGACCUCUCUUCUAGUUUGUCUUUAAAGGAAAAAGAAAAAUGCAUGAAUUUAUUUUAUCAUUCUGUUAUUCUAGCUCUAGCAAGAGAUUUGUCACCUGCUAGUGUGAACGUAGAGUCACUUGGAAACACUGGACCCUUAUCAACAGCGUUUUCUAUUCAAUGAGCUCAAGACCUUUCCAUAUAUAUUUUAUUAACACUUUUCUGAUAUCUGCUACAGUUAGUGGCUAAUUCACUUACCGUCGACUAUGAGUUCAACACUGUUGAUUAAAACACCAAGAGUUCUCUUUUUCUUU